UACAGAGGUCUCAAGCGUUGUUCGGAUUCAUUGGGCGUAAAGGGUGUGUAGGUGGCGCCGUAAGUCGGGUGUGAAAUUUCGGAGCUUAACUCCGAAACUGCAUUCGAUACUGCGGUGCUUGAGGACUGGAGAGGAGACUGGAAUUCACGGUGUAGCAGUGAAAUGCGUAGAUAUACGGAGGAACACCAACGGCGAAAGCACUCUGCUGGGCCGAAACUGACACUGAGAGACGAAAGCUAGGGGAGCAAAUGGG
RNAcentral lists this ribosomal RNA (253 nucleotides) under uncultured bacterium. RNAcentral describes it as "partial 16S ribosomal RNA". It matches the Rfam family "Bacterial small subunit ribosomal RNA", at positions 524 to 776 of the family's 1533-position model. The record is from RNAcentral.